Megalobrama amblycephala (Wuchang bream) is the source of this 834-nucleotide long non-coding RNA. RefSeq lists it as uncharacterized. The record is from RefSeq and is a predicted model, not a curated record. The transcript has 4 exons. Lineage: Eukaryota; Metazoa; Chordata; Actinopteri; Cypriniformes; Xenocyprididae.
CAGCACAUACCGGCUCGCCUUUAUCUCCUUUGUGUCCCUCUGGACCCUGAAAAACAUGGACAUUCAUUAUCAAACGGGUCUCCGGGACGUCCUGGAAGACCGAGAGGGCCCUGCCAUUGGAGAGGAGGAGAAGUGUCCAGUAUUACCAGGAGGCCCCUGAGAUUGUGGAGAAAGAGCGAUAGGGAGAGACGGACAGAAAAGAGAACCAGGGGGUCCUGUUCUACCUGGUCGUCCCGGUAACCCCGGGAUGCCAUCCGUUCCGGGAAGACCCUGAUGAAUGGUGUGGAGCGGGAAUAAUACAGACAAAAACAAACGAAAAAAACAUACACAAAUACAGAAAUUGUUUGAUGCUGCUAACAUCAGAACAUCUUCAGUGCACAUAUUACUUUGAAAUCAAAUAUAGAGCAAUAUAAAAUCCACGCAUUCACAUUGAUACAUAUCACAAAAAUAAAUAAGGAAACAUCUACAACAAUGCUGAUCUUGUUAGCAAGACCUGUCACAUUUCAUUUGUUAUUCAAAAGAGUCGCUUUGAUAUGACAAGCGCUUUCAUGUGUCGCCUUCUCAAAGAGAUAACAGGAAGAAAAAAAAGUAAAGUAUGAAUAGCACCCCGCAUAGAGGCAGAUCUGCGAUAUUAAUAAUUAGAUUUAAUCCUUUAAUCUACUAAAACAACAACUGAGUCACAAAAACAAUCUCAUCAUUAACAGAAUGGCUCGGUUUAAAUAAUAAAUGCUCCAGUAAUUAACAUAAACAUGAAUGUGUAAUUACGGAGAGGACGGGGGUGUUUUAUUUUGUGUUUAUUGAAGUUUGUGCUUGAGCGUUUCAGAUGCUGGAUGU